CAACAGGGAUUGCCCCAGUAACGGCGAGUGAAGCGGCAACAGCUCAAAUUUGAAAUCUGGCCCCCUCCGCGGGGGUCCGAGUUGUAAUUUGMAGAGGAUGCUUCUGGCGCGGCGCCUUCCGAGUUCCCUGGAACGGGACGCCACAGAGGGUGAGAGCCCCGUCCGGUYGGACGCCAAGCCUAUGUGAAGCACCUUCGACGAGUCGGGUAGUUUGGGAAUGCURCCCUAAAUGGGAGGUAUAUGUCUUCUAAAGCUAAAUACCGGCCAGAGACCGAUAGCGCACAAGUAGAGUGAUCGAAAGAUGAAAAGCACUUUGAAAAGAGGGUUAAACAGUACGUGAAAUUGUUGAAAGGGAAGCGCUCAUGACCAGACUUGGGCCCGGGGGAUCACCCGGCGUUCUUUYGCCGGGGCACUUCGCCGGCUGCCCAGGCCAGCAUCAGUUCGCGGCGGGGGACAAAGGCUUYGGGAACGUGGCUCCCUWCGGGGAGUGUUAUAGCCCGCUGCGCAAUGCCCUGCCGCGGACUGAGGUUCGCGCUUCCGCAAGGAUGCUGGCGUAAUGGUCAUCAGCGACCCGUCUUGAAACACGGACCAAGGAGUCGUCUUCGUAUGCGAGUGUUCGGGUGUCAAACCCCUACGCGGAAUGAAAGUGAACGCAGGUGAGAGCUUCGGCGCAUCACCGACCGAUCCUGAUGUUCUCGGAUGGAUUUGAGUAAGAGCAUACGGGGCCGGACCCGAAAGAAGGUGAACUAUGCCUGUAUAGGGUGAAGCCAGAGGAAACUCUGGUGGAGGCUCGCAGCGGUUCUGACGUGCAAAUCGAUCGUCAAAUAUGGGCAUGGGGGCGAAAGACUAAUCGA
This 854-nucleotide ribosomal RNA is filed under the name Gibellula sp. NHJ 10788. Its description in RNAcentral is "LSU rRNA". It matches the Rfam family "Eukaryotic large subunit ribosomal RNA", at positions 66 to 938 of the family's 3401-position model. The record is from RNAcentral. Lineage: Eukaryota; Fungi; Ascomycota; Sordariomycetes; Hypocreales; Cordycipitaceae.